AAACUACUCCCUCCUUCCCAUAUUAAGUGACUUUCUUUUACAUGUAUCUAGACGCUUUUUAGGCAUAGAUACAUCCAUAUUUGGGAAAUUUUGAGUCACUUAAUAUGGGACGGAGGGAGUACUAU
Non-coding RNA from Brachypodium distachyon (stiff brome), 125 nucleotides. NCBI's taxonomy places the organism in Eukaryota, Viridiplantae, Streptophyta, Magnoliopsida, Poales, Poaceae. The record is from Rfam.